This 504-nucleotide ribosomal RNA is filed under the name uncultured Caldilinea sp. RNAcentral describes it as "bacterial SSU rRNA". It matches the Rfam family "Bacterial small subunit ribosomal RNA", at positions 1 to 523 of the family's 1533-position model. The record is from RNAcentral. Lineage: Bacteria; Bacillati; Chloroflexota; Caldilineae; Caldilineales; Caldilineaceae.
AUUCGCCCUUGAGUUUGAUCAUGGCCAGGAUGACCCCUAGCGGCGUGCCUAACACAUGCAAGUCGAACGUGAACCUGACUUCGGUUGGCGGAAAGUGGCGGACGGGUGAGUAACACGUAAGUAACCUGCCUCAGAGUGGGGGAUAACCAUUAGAAAUGAUGGCUAAUACCGCAUGGUUUUGCGAUGACGGGAGUGAUUGCAAAUAAAGCUCAGGCGCUUUGAGAGGGGCUUGCGUCCGAUUAGCUAGUUGGUGGGGUAAAAGCCUACCAAGGCGAUGAUCGGUAGCUGGUCUGAGAGGACGAUCAGCCACACGGGAACUGAGACACGGUCCCGACUCCUACGGGGGGCAGCAGUGAGGAAUAUUCGUCAAUGGGGGCAACCCUGAACGAGCAACGCCGCGUGGAGGAAGAAGGCCCUUGGGUUGUAAACUCCUUUUCUGUGGGAAGAGACAGGACGGUACCACAGGAAUAAGUCACGGCUAACUACGUGCCAGCAGCGCGGUAA